CUGGGUCUCGCUUGCUGGCGGGGACCCCGGAGCCGUCGGUGCAUGCGCUACCAGACGCACUCAACAACCGGAGAACGCAGGAGGGUUCCGAGGAUGGCCCGAGGUGAGGGACCGCAGACGUUCGCCUUGUCUCUCCUGGCUGCUUACCUCAGCUUCCAUAGUGCAAUUGGCUUGCUUCCUCGAUACACCUUCUUGAUUGGUUCCUUCCCCUUAUCUGCCCGAGGCCUCUUUGAUUGGGAGGUUCCUUAGCCCCCUUAGUUGGCCUUGGGUUCUCUCCAUGGAGGGUGGGGGAAACAAGAACUGAGAAUUUGAAGGGUCGAGAUCUUAUUCUUUUCCUCCCGCAGCCAGCCCGAGGACUGGAGUCACCCCGAAGAUGGAGACUCUCGUGCGAUUUACGUCAUAUCUGCGCCUUCCAUCUAUGCCCGGGAGGUAGCUACCCACCUCUACCCGCUCCGCGCACUUUGGGCACGCUGGGCGGAGGCAGCCCCUGCAUUUCCCGUAGCCCUCCUUUACCCUAUCUGUAAGCUGAGGAGGGUAGAGUCUCUGGAAGGUCCUUAAGCCACCCCUCAGUUAUGGCUUAAAUUAAUUCUAGUUUGCAGCCCUUUUGCUGUCGUUUGGAGCUAUUUGCCAUCUUCUCUUUGGCAGACCUGUGGCCUUCGUGAGGUCACAGUGGGAGCCUCAGCCAGAGCUUCACUGUUUUCCCCUCCCUGGGGAGAGGGAGAGGAGGCAGAGGGGCAGCCCUUUCUAAUGCCACCUACUCAUUUCAUUUCUAGGCCUGACCUGCCCCUUGUCCAUCAGCGCCUGGAGACAGGACCCGGAUAUUUUUGUAUUUACUUGGUGGUGCCCAAUGUUCUGCCUUAGACACUUUGGAGCUGGAGGGGGUGGCUGGGAGAAUUUUACUGUUGGGAGUUGUACAUAAUGGUUAUUUAUAUCCUAUUUUCUCCUCUCUCCAUCUCUGUCCAGAGACCUCUAUAAAGGCUCUUACUUUGAUCAGCUUUGACUCACUGGGCUAAGUGCUUU
Molecule: long non-coding RNA, 1020 nt
Filed under: Lynx pardinus (Iberian lynx)
Lineage: Eukaryota; Metazoa; Chordata; Mammalia; Carnivora; Felidae
Source: RNAcentral